AUAACGACUCUCGGCAACGGAUAUCUCGGCUCUCGCAUCGAUGAAGAACGUAGCGAAAUGCGAUACUUGGUGUGAAUUGCAGAAUCCCGUGAACCAUCGAGUCUUUGAACGCAAGUUGCGCCCGAAGCCAAUAGGUCGAGGGCACGCCUGCCUGGGCGUCUCGCA
This 165-nucleotide ribosomal RNA is filed under the name Abebaia fasciculata. RNAcentral describes it as "Manilkara fasciculata 5.8S ribosomal RNA". It matches the Rfam family "5.8S ribosomal RNA". From Rfam's summary of the family: 5.8S ribosomal RNA (5.8S rRNA) is a component of the large subunit of the eukaryotic ribosome. It is transcribed by RNA polymerase I as part of the 45S precursor that also contains 18S and 28S rRNA. Functionally, it is thought that 5.8S rRNA may be involved in ribosome translocation. Lineage: Eukaryota; Viridiplantae; Streptophyta; Magnoliopsida; Ericales; Sapotaceae. The record is from RNAcentral. RNAcentral also lists the same sequence under 1 other name.